GCAUGAUUCUAUUGAAUGAAGAGCUCUUGAGCAUGUUUGUCCCAGCUCAAGGACUAAGCCCUCAAGGGUAAGUACUGAACGAGAAGGAUUCUGAACAAUGCUGCUAUAUUCUUUCACUUGGUCAGAUGCCAGUGAAUGCUCCAGUCCCUUCUUGAUAGCUAAUUGCACAGGGCCAUUUCUUACAGAGUACAGUGGUACCACAGGUUAAGAACUUAAUUUGUUCCGGAGGUCCGUUCUUAACCUGAAACUGUUCUUAACCUGAGGUACCACUUUAGCUAAUGGGGCCUCCCGCUGCUGCCACACCGCCGUGCAAUUUCUGUUCUCAUCCUGAGGUAAAGUUCUUAACCCGAGGUACUAUUUCUGGGUUAGUGGAGUCUGUAACAUGAAGCAUCUGUAACCUGAAGAGUGUGUAACCCAAGGUACCACUGUAUAUAUACAUUGUGGGAGUUUCUGUGUGAAACUGUGAAUGGGCGUGAGUCAGAUAUUUUUGAAAAAUAGCAAUAUAUUGAAAUCAUUGGAGGCGUUUAUCAGCUUUCCUAGAUUGGGAGUGGGGAACUAUGGUCUGGUGGGCCUUCCCCAAGCCCAAAGGCCAACUAUGGAUAGGUUGGUGGAAGCACUGACAUAUCAGUCACCUGAUGUCAUGAUGAUGUCAGGAACCUGAUAGGUGUGAGUUUCCAACCCUUGUCAAAGUUGACCUCUGUGGUGGGGGAAGGUUCUCUUUCAACAGCUGACUCUCUCAUAACACUAAGUCUUGUGGGCAUCCAGUGAGGAUGAAUGUUGGAAGAUUCAGUUCAGAUAAAAGAAAGUGCUUUCCUCCCAGCCAUCAGUUAAAUUAUGUAACUUGCUCCCAGGGGAAGCAACGAUAGCCACCAACCUAGAUAGCUUUAAGAGGGUUAGACAAAUGUUAGUUGCUGGAAACCACAGGAGGGGAAAGGGCUCUUGUGCUUGGGUCCUGUUUACAGAUUUGCCAUGAGCAUUUGGUUGGCCACUGUGAGAACAAGAUGCUGGACUAGAUGGGCCAUUGGUCUGACCCAGCAGAUUCUUCUUAAAUUCUUCUUACGUCUUCACAUACUCCCAAACUGGUGAGUAUUCGAUUGCAUCUUAAAUCCCCUUGAAUUCUGAAGGACUUUCUUCUGAGUAAGAAUGCUUAGGAUCACACUGCGCAAGAGUCAAUACUCUUGGAAACAGCUUUGUAACUUAAACAUCUAGUUGCCAUGGAGAUUUUUUAUCUCUUCUUUGUGAAGCCAAGCAUAUAUCAGGAGUGGCUGGUGCAAAAUGUAGGAGUUGCUGAUGGGCGGAAGGGAGAUGUUAGAGCCAAAGUUAAGCAUUCUAUAAUCCAGCUGAUUUGGAGUGAGUGAAACAUGUCCCGUUGUAAUCAACAGGACUUAAGAGUGCUUAACUUUGACUGCAUUGUAUAUGAAGCAAGAACAAGGCUGAACUGAGAAAGUGAAAUUUAGACUCUGGAGCAAAGCUGGAAAAGUAUGCGGUGUUUGUUUAAAGAAUUAUGUGGUGUUUCAAGUCUCGUUGAAGAUAUCAAACAAUGCAGCAGAAAACUGGCAGCAAUUCAAGCAGGUGUUUGACUUGUUCAUGAAAGCAUGUGGUCGUAAUGGGAAAAAUGUGUACAAAAAUAUGGUUGUAUUUUAAACUGUAGCUGGCCCUGCAAGAUGUAAUUGCUUUGAGAUCAUUUUCACGAGGCUGCUAAGAAUUUGUAUUGGCAUGUUUGCGUGUGUAGCUUUUGGUACAGACUGUUCUUGUAAGCCCUUAUGUGUUGUUGGUGC
Podarcis lilfordi (Lilford's wall lizard) is the source of this 1778-nucleotide non-coding RNA. Lineage: Eukaryota; Metazoa; Chordata; Lepidosauria; Squamata; Lacertidae. The record is from the annotation of a GenBank genome assembly.